Long non-coding RNA from Cyprinus carpio (common carp), 916 nucleotides. Lineage: Eukaryota; Metazoa; Chordata; Actinopteri; Cypriniformes; Cyprinidae. The record is from Ensembl.
GCACCAGAGGUUAUACUAACAACCUUUAAGUGCAGAUCCUCUGACUCCAGAGAAGCGGUCGCCCCUGCAGACAUCAGAUGUGAGGAAACAGUCAGACAACAGCGAUUCAGCCUGUUAGGAACCUCUCGAAUGCGUUCCAGCAGAUUGUAGUCAGAUAAACAGUUCUCAGGGCAAAACUUCAAGCAGAGCACGCUCCUCGACGACCUCCUGAGGAGAGAAAAGAGGCGAGGAGAUGGGUUACUGCUUACACCUCCCAGUAUGGAGGCUGUUCUCUCAGUCUCUCCAUCCCGGCAUUGUUUUCAAUUUAGUUGUCUCCGUUCCUCAACGCGGCAGGCAGACAUGCUCUCCAGGGCAAGUAAAUGCUCGACACACCGCCGGGGUCCUCGGCAGAACGGCUGACCAGAGGAACAGCGCCCUAGCAGUUAAACAUAGGGAUUCACACUUGUCUGGUUCUGAGCUCGCUUCCAAUCUGGGUUUUGGAUACAAGUCAAAGAUAACAGCUGUACACGUUGAGGGAUCAGUGAACCCAGCUGACUCCCUGGCAGCCAGAACACCGGCAGGAACCAGCUCAUAAUUAGAAACGUUUUGGGUCAUCUUGAGGAGAAACGGAGAGAAGAGAGACAUGCAGGGAGAAUAAGAGGCAAGUAUGUAUAUAAGAAUAGAUGCACACUACUGCUCAGUUUCAUAGCAUGAAGAGCCCAAGCUGUCCUAUCUGUGAAAUUGGUGCCAAUGUCAAGAAAAAUCAGCUUUAAGGAAACAUACUCAUAUGCAGGUGUGCAUAAUAUAUAUUUAUUUUUUUUUUUACUUUUUUAUACCACAAUAGGAAAGAAAAGAUCUGUCACUGCUCCCGUAACAUCAUGACUUCAGUGUAAUUGUUUAACUACCUACAGUAAUAAAGAUUACCUUCAAGCUUUCA